GACGAACGCUGGCGGCGUGCUUAACACAUGCAAGUCGAACGGAAAGGCCCUGCUUUUGUGGGGUGCUCGAGUGGCGAACGGGUGAGUAACACGUGAGUAACCUGCCCUUGACUUUGGGAUAACUUCAGGAAACUGGGGCUAAUACCGGAUAGGAGCUCCUGCUGCAUGGUGGGGGUUGGAAAGUUUCGGCGGUUGGGGAUGGACUCGCGGCUUAUCAGCUUGUUGGUGGGGUAGUGGCUUACCAAGGCUUUGACGGGUAGCCGGCCUGAGAGGGUGACCGGGCCACGUGGGGAUGGGGUUACGGCCCGAACUCCACGGGGGGGAGGAGUGGGGAAUAUUGCACAAUGGGCGGAAGCCUGAUGCAGCAACGCCGCGUGCGGGAUGACGGCCUUCGGGUUGUAAACCGCUUUCGCCUGUGACGAAGCGUGAGUGACGGUAAUGGGUAAAGAAGCACCGGCUAACUACGUG
This 468-nucleotide ribosomal RNA is filed under the name uncultured bacterium. RNAcentral describes it as "partial 16S ribosomal RNA". It matches the Rfam family "Bacterial small subunit ribosomal RNA", at positions 28 to 507 of the family's 1533-position model. The record is from RNAcentral.